CGGCGGCAGCUCACGUUCUCGGUGUGUGUGUGUGUGUGUGUGUGUGUGUGUGUGUGUGUGAAAAAGAAAAACCGCCGUAAUAAAGAACUGCGCCAACCUAAUUUCCGCGUCAGGAGGAGAACGAAACGACUCGCAGCACAUUACAUCUGUGACGCAGUAGUCAUUUCACAGGAUGGUACCAGGGGAUGCCGGUGCACCGUCUGCCAGGCUGCCUGACGGGAAUACCAGAUGAGAGAGGGAAAAGGGAAGGAGGUAGAAGAGAGGCUUGGUGUGAUAUCACUGCAGUCCUGAAGCCCCAAAUGGCUGUAGUCCGGAUGUUUUGAGGUUACCACCCCACUGCGGAGACUGCAGCGUUGCGAAGCUAUCUCAUGUGAACAUCACAAUUACACAUCAAGCUCCUGCUCCAGGCAUUAACAUGAGUGUAAUUUUAGCAUCAAUGAACCAUCAUCCGGUCUUUCCAAAUGACACCUUGUACCAGUGUCAGAGCACCGUAGUUUCAUCUACAGAUCAGCUAGAGGCAUCACAAUGACAUUUGUUUACAAUGAUAGUUAUAGAAAAACCAUAAGGAAUGAUUUUCAUAAAUGCAUAAUAGAAGCAGACGAAGUUAUAAGAUAUAGAAUUUACUCACCCUUCACCAUAAUGUAUCUUUUUGUGACAAAUACAGCAAAAGGAGUUCUUUCAUUCUUUAUUUUUUGCUGGAUGUUUGACCUGGUCUACGUCCACUUUUACUGCAUGGAAAAAAGCAGCUUGCACAUUCUACUAAAUUCCUCCUUUUGUGUUCUCCAUAAAGAAAAUCAUUACGGUAGGUAAAUUGUUAUUUUUGGGAAAACUAUCCCUUUAAGAGAAGCUUGCUGAGUUAGAAAUUGCACUUUCUACUGAAAUCGUGGCACCGUAAACCAACGAGUGGGUGAAGUCAACUGAAAUACACAGCUCAAGAACUUCACCUCAGCCUCCUUAAUAGCAACAACGGAUAUCAUUGCUUCUGAAAGCACUGAGCUUCCUUAAAAAGACAGAUAUAAACCUAUGAUGCAUAAAAAAAUAUUGUCUUCCGUACUGUAUGAAUUUGUGUGCGGUUAUGAAUCAAGCUCAUGCGGUAUAGCCCUCAAGUGCUUUAGGUCCAGGGAAGUAUGGUGGCGUUACACAACACACACUAGGGAGUCUGCAAAUCAGAGGAAAAGUGAGGGAACGUGUAAUUGUGAAAGAACAAGCAGAGCUCUGCAAGAAAAUCUCCACCCACAGUUUUACCUUGAGCAGAUAGGCAUUUGUGGGUAGAUGAGAAGAAAAGGUCAAGUAAUGUUUCUGAACUUCAUACUGGGUCUU
Molecule: long non-coding RNA, 1320 nt
Organism: Puntigrus tetrazona (Sumatra barb)
Lineage: Eukaryota; Metazoa; Chordata; Actinopteri; Cypriniformes; Cyprinidae
Exons: 3
Source: RefSeq, a predicted model, not a curated record